AAGAUGCUCGUAAACACUUGAACAACAUUGUCUUCUAUGUGUUUAGUCCUACGCUUAUCGGAAGCCGUUUAGUUGAUAGUGUUACUUAUGAGAGCUUGGUGAAAAUGUGGUUUAUGCCGAUUAAUGUUCUGUUCACGUUCAUGAUUGGUUCGUUCUUGGGUUGGCUUGUUGUUGUCAUCACUAAGCCACCUCGGCAUCU
Molecule: non-coding RNA, 199 nt
Organism: Camelina sativa (false flax)
Lineage: Eukaryota; Viridiplantae; Streptophyta; Magnoliopsida; Brassicales; Brassicaceae
Source: RefSeq, a predicted model, not a curated record